UGAUAUUAUUUGAUUUUAAGAUGUUUUUAAAUAAAACCUAUAUAUAGUUUUGAGAUAUAGUAGAGUUCAGAUAUAUCCUAAUGGAAUAAGGAUUAUUACUUGUAAUUAUAUACUAUUUGAGACAAUAUAUUCGUGAACCUUUUGAGAGAAGUUUUAACAAUUGGUCAUAACAGGCCAUAGGCUAUAUUAGGGGCCAAAUUUUAUGGGGUUCCCAGAGGCUCCUCUAUAGAUUAGUAAAGAUUAAAGAAAACCACUCUACCCAGUAGGACUCAGUGCUAAGUCUAGAAGACCCCAUUAAACAUCUCUGUGAUGCUUAGUUUCAGUUCUGAAACUGUAGAUUUUUGUCUCCAGAGAUAACAUCGCUGUUAAUAGCAGCAUAUGGAGUUGAGAGACAACAGACCUUAUUACCCACUCAUCAGCCCUAUUAUCCAUCUGCAAGUUUGUGUACACAGAUUCAAACUCUUACCUCUCUCUAAAAGUGCAAAGUUUCAAGAAGUUUAAUGAAUAGAGGAUCGUUGGGAAUAGAGUAGACCUGGGUGAGGAAGAGGAGUCUGGAGAUAAAUGCAAGGAGGGAGUGGCAGUAGAAAUAAAAGAGAAACAUUUUGAGCAGACGACUCCAGAAGUCUUGAGGGAUAAGUUUCUGAUUAGAGCCUCUCCAUUCAUUUGGUAGAAGGGAAAACCUAUCAUGGCAGCAGGCUUGUGAGGCCAUAAAAGAGACCCUGUUUUGGAAUAUUUUAAUAAAGUUCAUCUACCCAUGGGUAAGACAGGCAUGCGUGCAAAAUGCAAACAGUGAAACAAAGAAAUGCAAGGCCUGGUUGACCAAAUGAAACAACAUCGUGAGAUGUGCUCCUUCGCAGGAGGAAGCUGCUCUGAAGAUGAUGAAAGGAACAUGUCUGAACAUGCAGGAUCUCCAGGAGGAUCCAUCCUCAACAUACAGGACUCUGAAUACCCAUCUUCAUCAUCACCAUCACCAUCACUAUCUACAGUUUUAGAGUUAUCUGCUAAUGAUAUCAGUGUUCCAGUCAAAUGCAUGGCACGUAUUAUCAUGUAGCAAAAAGAAAAAAAAAUGGCUCCAUCAUCCAGAAACAACCAUAAACCUGUAAUAAGGACCAGCAGAUUACAGUGAGAGGUAAGUGAUAAAAAAAAUUGCUCAGUUUGUUUCUGCAACAAACUCUCCUUCCAGUAUGGUUGAGAACACACACUUCAUUGACAUGGUUCAGUCAUUACGACCAGGAUACAGUCCACCCAAGAGAGCAGAGAUAGCAGGCAAAUUAUUGCUGGAUAAAAUGUAUGACAAAGAAACUGAACAUUGUGCAAGAAGUCUACAGGGGAAAAUUGUUAACCUGAGUCUUGAUGGGUGGAGCAAUGUCCACAAGGAUCCAGUAAGACGUGCUUGUGUGACAACAGAAGAAGGCACUGUCUACCUUACAGAAACACUUGAUUCAUCAGGACAUGCACACACAGCAGGAUACUUGCAAGAAGUAACAGUACAAGCUAUAACAAACUGUGGAAGAGAAUUCAAGCAUCUAGCACACAGCUUUGUUACAGACGAUGCUGCAAACGUAUCAAAGAUGAGAAGAAACCUAGAAGAAAGCGAAGAAAGCCUGAAGGUCAUAACAUAUAACUGCAGCACUCAUUUGACGCACCUCUUUGCCAAAGACUUCAGCGCUCCAGAAAUAAAGGGAAAUGUUGCUGAAAUUGCAAAAUACUUCCGUAAUGACCACUUGCAGCAGCUGCUCUGAAGAAACUAAACUAACUCUCCCACAAGACGUGCGAUGGACUGUCAGUAGUGGACUGUUGUGAGCGAUAUAUUGAGAACUGGCCUAAUCUGAUGACAAUUUGUGAACAAAAUCAUGACCAAAUAGAUGCAGGUGGCAUACCCAAAGUGCUCGACAUUGAGCUAAAGAGAAAUGGAGAACGUGCGCUCACUAUGCUGAUGGCUAGCUCUGUAGCCUUGAACAAAGUGCAGGGAAAUCACUGUUUUACUGCUGAUGCUGUUGAAAUUUGGAAGGAAAUGAGUGAUGGUGCAGGGCACUAAGAGGCCCGCUGAUUUAAGGGCAGACUCUGCCUAGGGAGAGGGCCCUAGGAGCCAGGCAGAAACCCCACACAGGUGCAGGUUACUAUGGCAGCAGGCUAAUGAGGGAAUUAGCCUGCACCUGCACCUGGUCAGCUGACCGGAAGAAGGCAGGGGCCUGGGCACAUAUAAACCCCAGGGCUGACGUUGGCAGGUGUCGGCUCUCCGGCAGCAGCCAGGGGAAGGAGCCUGCAGAGAAGUACUGUCCAGAGAUGCUGUGGCCACCUGGUAUGCUGUCCUAUAGGACUAAGGGGCUCCCAAACCUCACCAGGUACUCUGGGCUACAAAGUAUUUAAUGUUUGGGGAGAAGUUUGCAACUUUUAAAGGGACAGAGAGCACCCUGCACUGUUUGUAUUAUGUUCUAGCAUAGGAGCUUGUGUUUUCUGUUGUUAUUUAAACUAGUGGACUGGGUCAAGGCUACUGGGGAGGAGGAGGCCUCACUGGGGCACACUACAGUGUGGAGACCCCAGAGCCAGUAAGGGAACAGUGAUGGGCCAAGGGCCCAGUGAUGAAGGGAGGCUGAGCUAUAUCAAAGUCUCAGAGGAACAAUGUUUGAAUACCAUCUGUUAGGCAUGGGGUGCGAUACAGGGAUGGUUUUGGAGUAGCGCAUCUAGCCCGUAAGGCUUGGGGUGUCCUGCGAGGCACUUACUUAAAGAGGGACCCAGCAAGGGGUCUAAGAAUGCACACUGCUUAGUGGGGUCCACCAGGACCAUGACCUUGAGGGCAGCCCCGCUAUUUACCAUCUAUUAUCUUCACCAUCAAGACGUGGCAGGUGAGAAUAGAAGGCGCCCAUGGGGUGAAGCUAGCAAGGUCACAGGCAUACUUGUGCUAGCAAGAUACCCUAGGGAUAUCACGGCUGUCCCUAGGGACCCCACCCCAUGACAAGUGAGAACUUGAAAAGAGACCUAUGCAAUGACAGAGUUAAAUUGCAGCCAUUAAAACAAAAAAACCCCUAAUAAAUCAAGCACAAUUUCUUGCCAAUAUUCUCAAUACUCUGUACCAGGAUCAAUCCUUAACUGCUGAAGAGGAGGAGUUGGCUAUGACAUAGGUAUCCAGCAAUCAUCCCUCUAUAAUACCAACUAUAAUACAUUUCAGAGUUAAGGGUGAACCAUUCAGGACAUGCAUGUUUGCUGAUGCAGUUUUAAAGAAAGCUACACCAUUGAACUGGUGGAAGUCACUUAAGUACCUGGAUCCACCAGAGACUAUUGAAGUGAUAAUCCUGCUUUAAACAACAGUAGCUUCUCUUGCAGGUGUAGGAAGAAUAUUUUCUUCCUUUGGACUAAUUUGUUCUAAAUUGAUAAAUCACUUGGCAAAUGAAAAAGCAGGAAAGCUUAUCUUUCUUUUCCAGGCUCUGAAUAAACAGGAAGAGAAAGGUGAGGACUGGGUUUGCUGCGCAACCCAGUAUUCUUAGUUUCUCAUGUUGACCUGGCUGAAAUAAUCCAUUUAAUUUUUGUUAAACGCAUUUCAGAUUUAUAAAAAAUUAAAAAUACAAAGGUUUUUUUUUUUUUUGUUUAAAACGAUGCAUAUUUGUUGCUGAAGAAAAAUAUAAAAAAAAUGCAUAAGCUUGUUGUUUAAUUAAAUAAUAAAACAAUUUACAUAUC
Alligator mississippiensis (American alligator) is the source of this 3675-nucleotide long non-coding RNA. RefSeq lists it as uncharacterized. NCBI's taxonomy places the organism in Eukaryota, Metazoa, Chordata, Crocodylia, Alligatoridae. The record is from RefSeq and is a predicted model, not a curated record. The transcript is spliced from 2 exons.